This 205-nucleotide long non-coding RNA is filed under the name Vigna radiata. RNAcentral describes it as "long non-coding RNA (VRAD_LNC008235)". Lineage: Eukaryota; Viridiplantae; Streptophyta; Magnoliopsida; Fabales; Fabaceae. The record is from RNAcentral.
AAAGGUUAAACUAAUAAAUUAAGUUCUGAUUUUGGUUUUCUAUCUAACCAUAUCCAUCAUGGGAAAGCAUUAAAAGAAAAGGCGUGACAGUAAAAUUAAAUAAAGUAAGUUGCUUCUAAAUAAAUCUCAUGCUUUUCUAAAACAAAGAAAAAAGAAAUAAAAAAAAUAAAUGGAUCACUUUCUUUCUCUCCAUGAAUCAUCACCG